This 442-nucleotide long non-coding RNA is filed under the name Vigna radiata. Its description in RNAcentral is "long non-coding RNA (VRAD_LNC006093)". Lineage: Eukaryota; Viridiplantae; Streptophyta; Magnoliopsida; Fabales; Fabaceae. The record is from RNAcentral.
UUCCCAUGAGACUCGAAAGGUUUUCUCGUUCGUGUGAAUUAAAAUCGUAAGACUUGUAAAAAGAAAUAAUUGUGGUGAAUGCAAAGACAGAAAAUAAACAUGCAAAGUAUUUGAUUCAAUUGACUAAAAGAGACUAUGGAUGAAUGGAGUUGUUGGGGGUUUAUAAUUUCAUCUAAUCCGCUCCCUCUUAUCUACUCCUAUUGUUUAUUGCGCCUUGUUAUCUAAUAGUUAUGCAAACUUUCUUGGCCUACCUUUAACCCGAUCCCUCGGCGAAAAUAGCCUAUUACUAAUUACUGGCUUAUUAUCCCUAGCCUCCCCUAGUAAUUAAUAAUGCAUUAAGAACAGAAGAAAAAACAAUUGAUCGUCCUACCCCCUAUCCCUUGGCCAGUAUUGCUUAAUCAAGGAAUUUCUCACCAGUUCAUGACAUUACUAUACGUCCCCG